GCACCUGCCUGUAAGAUCGGGAUAACGCCGGGAAACCGGGGCUAAUACCGGAUAGUUUUUUCUUCCGCAUGGAGGAAAAAGGAAAGACGGCUUCUGCUGUCACUUACAGAUGGGCCCGCGGCGCAUUAGCUAGUUGGUGGGGUAACGGCUCACCAAGGCAACGAUGCGUAGCCGACCUGAGAGGGUGAUCGGCCACAUUGGGACUGAGACACGGCCCAAACUCCUACGGGAGGCAGCAGUAGGGAAUCUUCCGCAAUGGACGAAAGUCUGACGGAGCAACGCCGCGUGAGUGAAGAAGGCCUUCGGGUCGUAAAACUCUGUUGCCGGGGAAGAACAAGUGCCGUUCGAACAGGGCGGCGCCUUGACGGUACCCGGCCAGAAAGCCACGGCUAACUACGUGCCAGCAGCCGCGGUAAUACGUAGGUGGCAAGCGUUGUCCGGAAUUAUUGGGCGUAAAGCGCGCGCAGGCGGCUUCUUAAGUCUGAUGUGAAAUCUUGCGGCUCAACCGCAAGCGGUCAUUGGAAACUGGGAGGCUUGAGUGCAGAAGAGGAGAGUGGAAUUCCACGUGUAGCGGUGAAAUGCGUAGAGAUGUGGAGGAACACCAGUGGCGAAGGCGGCUCUCUGGUCUGUAACUGACGCUGAGGCGCGAAAGCGUGGGGAGCAAACAGGAUUAGAUACCCUGGUAGUCCACGCCGUAAACGAUGAGUGCUAAGUGUUAGAGGGUUUCCGCCCUUUAGUGCUGCAGCUAACGCAUUAAGCACUCCGCCUGGGGAGUACGGCCGCAAGGCUGAAACUCAAAGGAAUUGACGGGGGCCCGCACAAGCGGUGGAGCAUGUGGUUUAAUUCGAAGCAACGCGAAGAACCUUACCAGGUCUUGACAUCCUCUGACCUCCCUGGAGACAGGGCCUUCCCCUUCGGGGGACAGAGUGACAGGUGGUGCAUGGUUGUCGUCAGCUCGUGUCGUGAGAUGUUGGGUUAAGUCCCGCAACGAGCGCAACCCUUGACCUUAGUUGCCAGCAUUCAGUUGGGCACUCUAAGGUGACUGCCGGUGACAAACCGGAGGAAGGUGGGGAUGACGUCAAAUCAUCAUGCCCCUUAUGACCUGGGCUACACACGUGCUACAAUGGAUGGUACAAAGGGCUGCGAGACCGCGAGGUUAAGCCAAUCCCAGAAAACCAUUCCCAGUUCGGAUUGCAGGCUGCAACCCGCCUGCAUGAACGCCGG
Molecule: ribosomal RNA, 1224 nt
Filed under: Heyndrickxia coagulans
Lineage: Bacteria; Bacillati; Bacillota; Bacilli; Caryophanales; Bacillaceae
Description: bacterial SSU rRNA
Rfam family: Bacterial small subunit ribosomal RNA
Source: RNAcentral